CACUACUAUCCCAACAAAGAGAAAGAAAAUAGUGAUAACUCCCCACAUUUGACCAGAAAAGGGUCUUAGGAAGGCCCAACCACCUGAGUUCAACUUUUUGAAUGGGGCCACAACAACAAGUCCAGAUGCAGCAUAUGGUUGUGUGAAAUCGACAACUCUAGUUCGAUUUGUAACUAUUGCGAUAUCACCAACAACACCAUCAAAACAUAUGGCUGUGUGAAAUCGACAACUCUAGUUCGAUUUGUAACUAUUGCGAUAUCACCAACAACACCAUCAAAAUUCUGGGAGCACACAAGAACAGUUAAUUUGUAACAUAGUUAGAAUAGCCUAGUCUUAGGUAAUUAUGGAUAUAGCACC
Molecule: long non-coding RNA, 357 nt
Filed under: Nicotiana benthamiana
Lineage: Eukaryota; Viridiplantae; Streptophyta; Magnoliopsida; Solanales; Solanaceae
Description: long non-coding RNA (NBEN_LNC030855)
Source: RNAcentral